RNAcentral lists this ribosomal RNA (855 nucleotides) under uncultured bacterium. RNAcentral describes it as "bacterial SSU rRNA". It matches the Rfam family "Bacterial small subunit ribosomal RNA", at positions 8 to 858 of the family's 1533-position model. The record is from RNAcentral.
AGAGUUUGAUCCUGGCUCAGGAUGAACGCUGGCGGCGUGCCUAACACAUGCAAGUCGAACGGAGUUCUUAAGGAAUGCGACUUCGGUCAAAUGACUUUUGAACUUAGUGGCGGACGGGUGAGUAACGCGUGAGCAACCUGCCUUUCAGAGGGGGAUAACAUUUGGAAACAGAUGCUAAUACCGCAUAAGAUUACAGUACCGCAUGAUACAGUGAUCAAAGGAGCAAUCCGCUGAAAGAUGGGCUCGCGUCCGAUUAGAUAGUUGGUGAGGUAACGGCUCACCAAGUCGACGAUCGGUAGCCGGACUGAGAGGUUGAACGGCCACAUUGGGACUGAGACACGGCCCAGACUCCUACGGGAGGCAGCAGUGGGGAAUAUUGCACAAUGGGCGAAAGCCUGAUGCAGCAACGCCGCGUGAGGGAAGACGGUUUUCGGAUUGUAAACCUCUGUUUUCGGUGACGAACAAAUGACGGUAACCGAGUAGGAAGCCACGGCUAACUACGUGCCAGCAGCCGCGGUAAUACGUAGGUGGCAAGCGUUAUCCGGAAUUACUGGGUGUAAAGGGAGCGCAGGCGGGAUAGCAAGUCAGCUGUGAAAACUAUGGGCUCAACCCAUAAACUGCAGUUGAAACUGUUAUUCUUGAGUGGAGUAGAGGCAAGCGGAAUUCCGAGUGUAGCGGUGAAAUGCGUAGAUAUUCGGAGGAACACCAGUGGCGAAGGCGGCUUGCUGGGCUCUAACUGACGCUGAGGCUCGAAAGUGUGGGGAGCAAACAGGAUUAGAUACCCUGGUAGUCCACACUGUAAACGAUGAUUGCUAGGUGUGGGGGGUCUGACCCCCUCCGUGCCGGAGUUAACGC